GUAUAUUUGAUGAUGAAGCACAAAAAAUGCUCAAGAUGACCAUCACAGAUCUGCUAGAUUCACUUAAUGGGAAAUCUGAAGAAAUCCCUAAGGUUAUUCAACAACUAUGUGGGAAAACACUUAUCUUCCGUUUCAUGCUAAAAGAGCAAAAUUUGACUGAAGGGAAAGAAUACUAUCUGGUGAAGAAAACAUUUGAGCCAGAUGAGGAGCUAGAGUUUCAAUAUUCAAAUCAUCAAGCGGAGAAUGAUCACAACAUCGAAGAUACACAUGACAAAAAAAAUAUCAGAUUUAUUUGAUGAAGAAGAAUUAAAACAUAGCAAAUACAAAAAUGGAAAUUUUGAGUUGAAGCAUACAAGUGAUCCCAUUCUGGAGGAAUGUAAGAUGAAAGCUUCACUUCGCAAAAAUACAUCAAAAUCAAUUGAUUUGGAAGAUAGUGGCGAAGAUA
Panicum virgatum (switchgrass) is the source of this 445-nucleotide long non-coding RNA. RefSeq lists it as uncharacterized. The transcript has 3 exons. The record is from RefSeq and is a predicted model, not a curated record. Lineage: Eukaryota; Viridiplantae; Streptophyta; Magnoliopsida; Poales; Poaceae.